GGGUGAGUAAUGCAUCGGAACGUACCUUUCAGUGGGGGAUAACGUAGCGAAAGUUACGCUAAUACCGCAUAUUCUGUGAGCAGGAAAGCAGGGGAUCGCAAGACCUUGCGCUGAUGGAGCGGCCGAUGUCAGAUUAGCUAGUUGGUGGGGUAAAGGCUCACCAAGGCGACGAUCUGUAGCGGGUCUUAGAGGAUGAUCCGCCACACUGGAACUGAGACACGGUCCAGACUCCUACGGGAGGCAGCAGUGGGGAAUUUUGGACAAUGGGCGCAAGCCUGAUCCAGCCAUGCCGCGUGAGUGAAGAAGGCCUUCGGGUUGUAAAGCUCUUUCGGCCGGGAAAAAAUCGCUUGGGUUAAUACCCUGAGUGGAUGAUGGUACCGGAAUAAGAAGCACCGGCUAACUACGUGCCAGCAGCCGCGGUAAUACGUAGGGUGCGAGCGUUAAUCGGAAUUACUGGGCGUAAAGCGUGCGCAGGCGGUUUUGUAAGACAGGCGUGAAAUCCCCGGGCUCAACCUGGGAACUGCGUUUGUGACUGCAAGGCUAGAGUAUGGCAGAGGGGGGUGGAAUUCCACGUGUAGCAGUGAAAUGCGUAGAGAUGUGGAGGAACACCAAUGGCGAAGGCAGCCCCCUGGGCCAAUACUGACGCUCAUGCACGAAAGCGUGGGGAGCAAACAGGAUUAGAUACCCUGGUAGUCCACGCCCUAAACGAUGUCAACUAGGUGUUGGGUGGGUAAAACCAUUUGGUACCGUAGCUAACGCGUGAAGUUGACCGCCUGGGGAGUACGGCCGCAAGGUUAAAACUCAAAGGAAUUGACGGGGACCCGCACAAGCGGUGGAUGAUGUGGAUUAAUUCGAUGCAACGCGAAAAACCUUACCUACCCUUGACAUGCCAGGAACUUGCCAGAGAUGGCUUGGUGCCCGAAAGGGAGCCUGGACACAGGUGCUGCAUGGCUGUCGUCAGCUCGUGUCGUGAGAUGUUGGGUUAAGUCCCGCAACGAGCGCAACCCUUGUCGUUAAUUGCCAUCAUUUAGUUGGGCACUUUAACGAGACUGCCGGUGACAAACCGGUGGAAGGUGGGGAUGACGUCAAGUCCUCAUGGCCCUUAUGGGUAGGGCUUCACACGUCAUACAAUGGUCGGUACAAAGGGUUGUCAAAGCCGCGAGGUGGAGCUAAUCCCAGAAAGCCAGUCCCAGUUCGGAUUGCAGUCUGCAACUCGACUGCAUGAAGUUGGAAUCGCUAGUAAUCGCGGAUCAGCACGCCGCGGUGAAUACGUUCCCGGGCCUUGUACACACCGCCCGUCACAUCACGAAAGCCGGCUGUACUAGAAGUCGCCGAGCCAACCCGUAAGGGGGGCAAGCGCCCACGGUAUGGUCGGUGAUUGGGGUGAAGUCGUAACAAGGUA
RNAcentral lists this ribosomal RNA (1402 nucleotides) under metagenome. Its description in RNAcentral is "bacterial SSU rRNA". It matches the Rfam family "Bacterial small subunit ribosomal RNA". The record is from RNAcentral.